Molecule: long non-coding RNA, 800 nt
Organism: Strigops habroptila (Kakapo)
Lineage: Eukaryota; Metazoa; Chordata; Aves; Psittaciformes; Psittacidae
Exons: 3
Source: RefSeq, a predicted model, not a curated record
CCUGUAUGCGCUGAUUAUCCCUUUGUUCCCUUCCUCUAAUGAUACAGAAAAUGAGAAAACUCUAAUAAAGGUUGUAACCUGAAGCACUAUCAAACAAAGAGGUGAUUGUAGCUGAGCCUAGGACUCACCUGCCUCGGCAAGAUGUGGUGUUCUCUGGAGUACUGAUUUCUUAUCUGUAGAUCAUGAGCUGGAGACCUGUCCAGAUGUCAUGCAAGUUAUUUCUAUUGGUUGAAUGGCAGUGUGUAGAAUGGGAGAUCCCCUUGUGAAGUUUCUUCCAAGAACUAAAUAUAAAUUCCAUUAAUUCAUGCUUAUCAGAGAAUGUGAAGGUUAACUAGUUAUGUGCUUUAACUUUUAAAAACCCAGUCUGGGGCAGUUUAAAGAGACCUAACACUGAAAUAAAAUAAAAUCCUCAUCACCUUAAAUUUGGUGUUUUUAAGGUAAAUUGUAUUGAGUCAUCAGUUCCUUUGGAAAAGUGGAUUAUUCUAAAAUGUUGGAACAGCUCCCUUAUUUUCAUCAAAUGGUCAUAACCAGAAUACAAGAGGAAUUCCAUAAAAAUUAUCCAGAUGAAGGAGAAUAGAAACUGACUUAAAAUAUUGGCUUAAUGCUGGGUGAGUUUAAUGCUACCCAUCUGUUACGUUCAUUUGUAUGCUGGAGCAGCGCUGACAAGCCUCCUGUUGUUGCUGGUACAAUUUGUGUCAUCCAACCAGAUUUGACCAGAAGUUUGAAUGCAAAAGUGAAGAUUUUUUGUAACUUUAUAAUCCUGAGUUUUGCAGCUCUGUUCAACAAAAAGUCAUAUUUAU